Long non-coding RNA from Macrosteles quadrilineatus (aster leafhopper), 405 nucleotides. RefSeq lists it as uncharacterized. NCBI's taxonomy places the organism in Eukaryota, Metazoa, Arthropoda, Insecta, Hemiptera, Cicadellidae. The transcript has 3 exons. The record is from RefSeq and is a predicted model, not a curated record.
CCUGUAUAACCUCACCUUACUUUAUACUUAAUACUAUCUUAUGAAAUGGCGACCAUACAAAGUUGUCUAGGAAGGUGAAGUCAGCGUGUGUGGUGUAGGUGAUGCUCUCCCAGCAAUGGAACUGUCGCGAGGCUGGAUAGCAAUGAGCAGUUUGGACUCACCCUGUACUAGAGCAGCAGUAUGGGUGUGUGGAGGGGAGCCGACGUCAGGGUUAUCUGAGCCCGGAGGUCCAGAGUCCGGGACUACAUCCAGGGACGCUAACUGUCGUCCGCCAGCCUGGAGCUCCUCCAGCAUGUCCAGCCCUCCAUUCCUGCUAACAUUGCAACAUAAUGUAUAAUCCCAAAACAACGAGUGAGACGUAAUGGCGAUGGGCUGGAACUAACAACCAUGGCUGCAUUCACAAAA